GACCAAGACUACGGAGCCCCUCCUACCCCCUGUUGUGACCCUAACGUGGGUGGCUUAGGGGUUGUUGACACUUGCCAAAGGUGUAACCCCAGACUCUGGUGGGCGGGAGUGUCCAUAUUCCCGUAGUAGGCUAAGGUACCAACCUGUCCUACCCCAAUGCCCAUAUUAUUAUUAUUAUUAUUAUUAUUGUUUCUGACAUGAGUUGGUAGUUGUCUAACUACAGCAAAAGAUUUAGUUGUAAAUGUCCCUAAUUUGAUGAGAGACACACAAAGUUAACCUGUUUGUUCAUCUUACUCGAAUCGUUUACUAUACUGAAUUGCGAACAAUUAAAAAUAAUGCUCGCAAACUGGUUUCCUUCGCAGCCUGAUAUUGCUAAUGGGAGAUAGCCUUUUGCAUGCAUGGUACAAUGCAAUGUAGCUCUUUUGUGGGAUCCAUGUCUUGCUUUGUUCAGGUGCCAUCAUUUAGAAUUCUCAGUACAAUGUAUUUUGGAUUCCAACAGAAUUGUCCUUGGUGAAAUGGAAACAGUGGAUUCUCUCAAAAUGAGGAUGGCUCUAAGACUGUUGAUACCAGCAGUUAACUUUCAUAUUCUUCAUAACAAAAAGGAGCUGAGGCCUGAAGAUAUAGUGGGAGAUCUAAGGACACCCGAACAAGGAAACUGGCGGAAUUUUGCUGUUAUUCUUCAUCUUACGUAAUUCUCUAAUCAGCAAAAUUCUCCUUGAUGUAAAUGUAUAGAAUUCUGUCGAUUCUUGUUUGUACGUGCAGGCUGGAUGAUUUCUCUACCCUGUUCUUCUGGCAGAAAGAGGAACGGGGAUUGUUAAAAUGCACUUCGACCGCAAUAUGGCAUAUAGUUUAGUCAAGACUUUAUAUGUAUAGGUAAUCACGUGAUUUCGAGUGCAAUUUGGAAUAAACAAGCACCAGUAAAUUUUUCAACGGCUAGCAAAAUUUUGUCGUAGUUUAAAAACUUUAAACGACUUCUUAUUCCAAAUUGCUUGAGCAAAAUCAUGCUUAUUUAACCCAUGGCUUUUCACACAGUUGUCAGAAGAACUUGGUUACAACAAGAAUACUUUGUAAAACUGGGUCGCAUUUCCGAAAGCUUUGUAACGUCAAGUUAAUUAAUGUAUCAAUUACAAAGUUCUGGAAGAAAUCUAGUCGGCUCCUUCAUACGUGUACUUGUAAUCAAAUUGGUAGAACAUGAGUAUAAUGGCUUCUGCCGGUAUGCUUGUAAUCACACAUGGCAUGUAAUCUGCUCACCUACAUGAUCAGUUAAGCUUUUGUAUGAUCUUCAGUAUGUUUUCUCCUCUAGCCCAAGGCUAUUGGGUUUGUUAUCUGAUAAGCAGCUGGGUAUUAUUUCAAUAGACCAUAUUGAUACACACAUGGAUAAGGGGGUUCUGGGGCCGGGGCAAGUUUUGCUUAACUUUUGAGUCUCGCUUCGCGGCUCGCCUCAAAAAUAAACCCAAACUUGCUCGUUCACAGAACCCCCUUAUCCACGUGUGUUUACUGCCUGCGUCUGUUUUCACACCCACUUUUGAACAUUGUCAGAAUUUUUGUAUAUGGAGGCCCAAUCGACGUCAAGCUUUUUCAAGACAUGGCUGUUUAUAUAAAACAAAUCGAAAAGA
Long non-coding RNA from Orbicella faveolata, 1616 nucleotides. NCBI's taxonomy places the organism in Eukaryota, Metazoa, Cnidaria, Anthozoa, Scleractinia, Merulinidae. The record is from RefSeq and is a predicted model, not a curated record.